CGUGGAUCAGCAGUUUUGGGCAGCUGUUGUUGGCGCUCAUGAGAGACCAAGGCACCUUCUACCAUGUCUAAAGCUACAGCUGCUGCUUUUUGAAAGAGAUUCCACUGCGGUUGUUGAAGGUGGCCGGUUUUGCGUUUUACAGUGAGAAAGGAGUCAUCUUUGGGAAUUGCUGGUGCUCGAUAGGAUUGUUCAGGGAAAUGGAGAACAGAGGGAGAGUGUAGAGCGCAGUGAAUUUUGGUUCU
RNAcentral lists this unclassified non-coding RNA (242 nucleotides) under Hevea brasiliensis (rubber tree). Lineage: Eukaryota; Viridiplantae; Streptophyta; Magnoliopsida; Malpighiales; Euphorbiaceae. The record is from RNAcentral.